RNAcentral lists this ribosomal RNA (497 nucleotides) under uncultured bacterium. Its description in RNAcentral is "partial 16S ribosomal RNA". It matches the Rfam family "Bacterial small subunit ribosomal RNA", at positions 28 to 507 of the family's 1533-position model. The record is from RNAcentral.
GAUGAACGCUGGCGGCGUGCCUAAUACAUGCAAGUCGAGCGAACGGACGAGAAGCUUGCUUUUCUGAUGUUAGCGGCGGACGGGUGAGUAACACGUGGAUAACCUACCUAUAAGACUGGGAUAACUUCGGGAAACCGGAGCUAAUACCGGAUAAUAUUUUGAACCGCAUGGUUCAAAAGUGAAAGACGGUCUUGCUGUCACUUAUAGAUGGAUCCGCGCUGCAUUAGCUAGUUGGUAAGGUAACGGCUUACCAAGGCAACGAUGCAUAGCCGACCUGAGAGGGUGAUCGGCCACACUGGAACUGAGACGCGGUCCAGACUCCUACGGGAGGCAGCAGAAGGGAAUCUUCCGCAAUGGGCGAAAGCCUGACGGAGCAACGCCGCGUGAGUGAUGAAGGUCUUCGGAUCGUAAAACUCUGUUAUUAGGGAAGAACAUAUGUGUAAGUAACUGUGCACAUCUUGACGGUACCUAAUCAGAAAGCCACGGCUAACUACGUG